UUAAGUUAUUAAGGGCGCACGGUGGAUGCCUUGGCACUAGAAGCCGAUGAAGGACGUUACUAACGACGAUAUGCUUUGGGGAGCUGUAAGUAAGCUUUGAUCCAGAGAUUUCCGAAUGGGGAAACCCAGCAUGAGUUAUGUCAUGUUAUCGAUAUGUGAAUACAUAGCAUAUCAGAAGGCACACCCGGAGAACUGAAACAUCUUAGUACCCGGAGGAAGAGAAAGAAAAUUCGAUUCCCUUAGUAGCGGCGAGCGAAACGGGAAGAGCCCAAACCAACAAGCUUGCUUGUUGGGGUUGUAGGACACUCUAUACGGAGUUACAAAGGACGACAUUAGACGAAUCAUCUGGAAAGAUGAAUCAAAGAAGGUAAUAAUCCUGUAGUCGAAAAUGUUGUCUCUCUUGAGUGGAUCCUGAGUACGACGGAGCACGUGAAAUUCCGUCGGAAUCUGGGAGGACCAUCUCCUAAGGCUAAAUACUCUCUAGUGACCGAUAGUGAACCAGUACCGUGAGGGAAAGGUGAAAAGCACCCCGGAAGGGGAGUGAAAUAGAACCUGAAACCGUGUGCUUACAAGUAGUCAGAGCCCGUUAAUGGGUGAUGGCGUGCCUUUUGUAGAAUGAACCGGCGAGUUACGAUUUGAUGCAAGGUUAAGCAGUAAAUGUGGAGCCGUAGCGAAAGCGAGUCUGAAUAGGGCGUUUAGUAUUUGGUCGUAGACCCGAAACCAGGUGAUCUACCCUUGGUCAGGUUGAAGUUCAGGUAACACUGAAUGGAGGACCGAACCGACUUACGUUGAAAAGUGAGCGGAUGAACUGAGGGUAGCGGAGAAAUUCCAAUCGAACCUGGAGAUAGCUGGUUCUCUCCGAAAUAGCUUUAGGGCUAGCCUCAAGUGAUGAUUAUUGGAGGUAGAGCACUGUUUGGACGAGGGGCCCCUCUCGGGUUACCGAAUUCAGACAAACUCCGAAUGCCAAUUAAUUUAACUUGGGAGUCAGAACAUGGGUGAUAAGGUCCGUGUUCGAAAGGGAAACAGCCCAGACCACCAGCUAAGGUCCCAAAAUAUAUGUUAAGUGGAAAAGGAUGUGGCGUUGCCCAGACAACUAGGAUGUUGGCUUAGAAGCAGCCAUCAUUUAAAGAGUGCGUAAUAGCUCACUAGUCGAGUGACACUGCGCCGAAAAUGUACCGGGGCUAAACAUAUUACCGAAGCUGUGGAUUGUCCUUUGGACAAUGGUAGGAGAGCGUUCUAAGGGCGUUGAAGCAUGAUCGUAAGGACAUGUGGAGCGCUUAGAAGUGAGAAUGCCGGUGUGAGUAGCGAAAGACGGGUGAGAAUCCCGUCCACCGAUUGACUAAGGUUUCCAGAGGAAGGCUCGUCCGCUCUGGGUUAGUCGGGUCCUAAGCUGAGGCCGACAGGCGUAGGCGAUGGAUAACAGGUUGAUAUUCCUGUACCACCUAUAAUCGUUUUAAUCGAUGGGGGGACGCAGUAGGAUAGGCGAAGCGUGCGAUUGGAUUGCACGUCUAAGCAGUAAGGCUGAGUAUUAGGCAAAUCCGGUACUCGUUAAGGCUGAGCUGUGAUGGGGAGAAGACAUUGUGUCUUCGAGUCGUUGAUUUCACACUGCCGAGAAAAGCCUCUAGAUAGAAAAUAGGUGCCCGUACCGCAAACCGACACAGGUAGUCAAGAUGAGAAUUCUAAGGUGAGCGAGCGAACUCUCGUUAAGGAACUCGGCAAAAUGACCCCGUAACUUCGGGAGAAGGGGUGCUCUUUAGGGUUAACGCCCAGAAGAGCCGCAGUGAAUAGGCCCAAGCGACUGUUUAUCAAAAACACAGGUCUCUGCUAAACCGUAAGGUGAUGUAUAGGGGCUGACGCCUGCCCGGUGCUGGAAGGUUAAGAGGAGUGGUUAGCUUCUGCGAAGCUACGAAUCGAAGCCCCAGUAAACGGCGGCCGUAACUAUAACGGUCCUAAGGUAGCGAAAUUCCUUGUCGGGUAAGUUCCGACCCGCACGAAAGGCGUAACGAUUUGGGCACUGUCUCAACGAGAGACUCGGUGAAAUCAUAGUACCUGUGAAGAUGCAGGUUACCCGCGACAGGACGGAAAGACCCCGUGGAGCUUUACUGUAGCCUGAUAUUGAAAUUCGGCACAGCUUGUACAGGAUAGGUAGGAGCCUUUGAAACGUGAGCGCUAGCUUACGUGGAGGCGCUGGUGGGAUACUACCCUAGCUGUGUUGGCUUUCUAACCCGCACCACUUAUCGUGGUGGGAGACAGUGUCAGGCGGGCAGUUUGACUGGGGCGGUCGCCUCCUAAAAGGU
This 2297-nucleotide ribosomal RNA is filed under the name Staphylococcus aureus VET0194R. RNAcentral's name for it is "bacterial LSU rRNA". It matches the Rfam family "Bacterial large subunit ribosomal RNA", at positions 3 to 2298 of the family's 2925-position model. The record is from RNAcentral. Lineage: Bacteria; Bacillati; Bacillota; Bacilli; Caryophanales; Staphylococcaceae.